GAUGAACGCUGGCGGCGUGCUUAACACAUGCAAGUCGAACGAUGAACCUCACUUGUGGGGGGAUUAGUGGCGAACGGGUGAGUAACACGUGAGUAACCUGCCCUUGACUCUGGGAUAAGCCUGGGAAACCGGGUCUAAUACUGGAUACGACCUUCUGGCGCAUGCCAUGUUGGUGGAAAGCUUUUGUGGGUUUGGAUGGACUCGCGGCCUAUCAGCUUGUUGGUGGGGUAAUGGCCUACCAAGGCGACGACGGGUAGCCGGCCUGAGAGGGUGACCGGCCACACUGGGACUGAGACACGGCCCAGACUCCUACGGGAGGCAGCAGUGGGGAAUAUUGCACAAUGGGCGCAAGCCUGAUGCAGCGACGCCGCGUGAGGGAUGAAGGCCUUCGGGUUGUAAACCUCUUUCAGUAGGGAAGAAGCCGGCUUUUGGGUUGGUGACGGUACCUGCAGAAGAAGCGCCGGCUAACUACGUG
RNAcentral lists this ribosomal RNA (475 nucleotides) under uncultured bacterium. RNAcentral's name for it is "partial 16S ribosomal RNA". It matches the Rfam family "Bacterial small subunit ribosomal RNA", at positions 28 to 507 of the family's 1533-position model. The record is from RNAcentral.